RNA transcript from Spinacia oleracea (spinach), 959 nucleotides. RefSeq lists it as uncharacterized. The transcript is spliced from 3 exons. NCBI's taxonomy places the organism in Eukaryota, Viridiplantae, Streptophyta, Magnoliopsida, Caryophyllales, Amaranthaceae. The record is from RefSeq and is a predicted model, not a curated record.
UCUCGACGCGAUGGGGUCGACGCUGUGGGAAACCGCUUGGAAGGAAAAGCAGUCCGCGUGUUUUGUCGACGGUUUAUAUCGUUGAAACAAUUUGUCUACUUAUAACAGCGUCGACAAUUCCCCAUGUGCUCCACACGUGACCUGAACCGUUCGUGACUACAACUUUUGGGGGAAAAGAACGCCCCUCGUUUCCACAGCCGCAUUAAACCUUCUCUCUCAUCAGUUCUCAAAUCAUCCCAACCCUUAAAUCAGUUCUCAUUAUUUUUUCUUCUAAUUUUCAGGAUCUGAGAGUUAAUUUCUUGCUCGAAUAAUGUCUUGUUAUUGAAGUUCUUGAUUCAAAUCCCGUUAGCAAUCGGUUAUUUUUCAAGUUUCUUCUCUCAUUUGUUUAGUUGUUAUUUGGUAUGGAUAAUUAAAAUUUUGAUUUGUGUAUGUUUUAGGUUUUCUUUCUUUUAUCAUAAUUUUUUGCCAUUGAACUGUGUUUUCGUUUGACAUUGAACUCUCACUUCCUUCGGAUCUAACAUUCGUCACCCCCAUCUCCAGGUCUGUUCAAGGAUUCACAAGUUUGGCCACCAACUUUCUCGCCAAUUACAGGUGUUUGGUGUUGUUUUCAGCUGCACAGGUGCUGCUUCUUGCUGUUGCAGGGUGUGGGUUGUGCUCCUGAUGUGUGCAGGCUAUUCUGCAGGGAGUCCAGGUGUUGCAGUCAGGUCUACAGGGAGUGUGGUGUUCGAUUGCUGCUGUGUGCAAUCUUAUGUUGCGUACCCUUUUAUUGCGUUUGUUGUGUUUGGUUGUUAGGGAGUGGUCUGUACUCCUCUAACUUUUUCUGCUGUUUCGUUGUUUAGAUACUUUUGUUCAUACCUUUUGGUAUUAAAUUUGUGUUUUGGAGAUAUAUAGCUAGCUAAUUUAAUAGUUUGGACAUGUGUAAACUUAAUUUGAUGAUAUGAUAUGAGGAUUUGGAGCGA